RNAcentral lists this ribosomal RNA (910 nucleotides) under Marinobacter sp. 17(2010). Its description in RNAcentral is "bacterial SSU rRNA". It matches the Rfam family "Bacterial small subunit ribosomal RNA", at positions 59 to 962 of the family's 1533-position model. The record is from RNAcentral. Lineage: Bacteria; Pseudomonadati; Pseudomonadota; Gammaproteobacteria; Pseudomonadales; Marinobacteraceae.
CAGUCGAGCGGAACGAUGGGUGCUUGCACCCAGGCGUCGAGCGGCGGACGGGUGAGUAAUGCAUAGGAAUCUGCCCAGUAGUGGGGGAUAGCCCGGGGAAACCCGGAUUAAUACCGCAUACGUCCUACGGGAGAAAGCAGGGGAUCUUCGGACCUUGCGCUAUUGGAUGAGCCUAUGUCGGAUUAGCUAGUUGGUGGGGUAAAGGCCUACCAAGGCGACGAUCCGUAGCUGGUCUGAGAGGAUGAUCAGCCACAUCGGGACUGAGACACGGCCCGAACUCCUACGGGAGGCAGCAGUGGGGAAUAUUGGACAAUGGGCGCAAGCCUGAUCCAGCCAUGCCGCGUGUGUGAAGAAGGCUUUCGGGUUGUAAAGCACUUUCAGUGGGGAGGAAGGUCUCGUAGCUAAUACCUGCGAGGAUUGACGUUACCCACAGAAGAAGCACCGGCUAACUCCGUGCCAGCAGCCGCGGUAAUACGGAGGGUGCGAGCGUUAAUCGGAAUUACUGGGCGUAAAGCGCGCGUAGGCGGUUUGAUAAGCGAGAUGUGAAAGCCCCGGGCUUAACCUGGGAACGGCAUUUCGAACUGUCAGGCUAGAGUAUGGUAGAGGGUAGUGGAAUUUCCUGUGUAGCGGUGAAAUGCGUAGAUAUAGGAAGGAACACCAGUGGCGAAGGCGGCUACCUGGACCAAUACUGACGCUGAGGUGCGAAAGCGUGGGGAGCAAACAGGAUUAGAUACCCUGGUAGUCCACGCCGUAAACGAUGUCAACUAGCCGUUGGGGAUCUUGAAUCCUUAGUGGCGCAGCUAACGCACUAAGUUGACCGCCUGGGGAGUACGGCCGCAAGGUUAAAACUCAAAUGAAUUGACGGGGGCCCGCACAAGCGGUGGAGCAUGUGGUUUAAUUCGACGCACGC